Molecule: non-coding RNA, 2055 nt
Organism: Oryctolagus cuniculus (rabbit)
Lineage: Eukaryota; Metazoa; Chordata; Mammalia; Lagomorpha; Leporidae
Source: RefSeq, a predicted model, not a curated record
CUCAGAACCAGAAUGAUGACACAUACCAGACCUUGGCCAGAUCUGAAGUCCAAUGCCAACCAGGUUCAGCGAAGCCCAGGCCACCCACAGGCAAUCCAGAGCCAAGACACACACCUAAAUCCUCUACUGACCCUCAGACAGCUCCUUCUGGAACUCAGAAGGGUUCGCCUUUACAGGCUCUGGGACUAGGACAGGAAGUAAGAUGUGUGAAUGUUUCCUCAUUGGGAUACCCUCAUUUCUGAGCUUGUGACCAACUUCAGUAAGUCAUAUUCAUACAGGAGUGUGACUGCGUGUUCCCAGAAGAGGCGACAGGACCAGAGACUGUGCCUCUGUGGCCGUUUAAGACUUCAGAAAGAAGGCAGGGCCUGGGUGUUAUUGGCAUGAAUAAGCAUCAGUUAAGGACAACCGCUCUAGGCCGAGAUCUCCGGUACAGGUCACAGACACGCGGCCGGUAGGUUUUUGGUUCCUCCUUCCGCAGACUGAGGAUCAGAGGAGGGAGCUGGAAUGCUCAGGGCCACACAGUGCUGCCUAAGUGGUAACACUUGAACUUGACCCAAGGAGGCAGGUCAAAGGGAGCUCUGUAAACACACAUAGCAAGUCCCGGCAGGAAGUAGACACUGGGAGGGCUGGGCUCCUGGGUAAACGUUCCAGGAAAGCCCAGCAGCUGGACGUCUGGGAGUGAUGACAUGGUAGUGUUUUGCUUCUUUUGCUUUUGCUUGUUUGUUUUGCUUUUUUUGUUUACCUAGUAGUAUUCAAAUAACAGUAUGUGUUAAUCAAGUGCUCCAUUGGGAGUCAGCUAAAUACAGAGCCAGCAGGGGGUAAAAAGAACCGGCCAGGGAACACAGGGGAGUCUUUGAAAACCUUAUGGAAAAGUGGAAUUUAAAGACAUUUAUUUUGGUGCAUAGAAAGAUCUGGAGCUCAUUCACAGCUUUUUCCUGAGGCAUAUUCUCCAUCAACUUGUUGAAGCCCCCACGGAGCAGGGCCCCUGGUUUCACCUUCCACCUGCUUCUGCAUGAGCCGCAGCCCAGCCGCUGGCGGUACAGGGACCAGAACCUUCGCCCCCGCCCAGGUGUCCUGAGAAGUGCUGUUGCAGGCCCCUUCCCAGACCUGCUCUUGAGCGAAGUCUCUGGAUGAUUCUUGUGCACAUCAAGGUUCUGGAAGCCUUGCGCAAGGGGACACAGGCAGAAGAAAAGGCAGAAUGUAAAAUCUCAGAAGAACCAGCUAGCUAUGUUUAGGAAAAAAUAAGAUGGAAUAAUCUCCCCCCGCCCACCUGGAAAAAUAUAAGGCAAUUUACCGGUUAGCUCAGGGGGAUAAUUUUUUUUCCUGGAAAAACUAAAUGCAGAUUCUGUUCAUCUGAAACAGAAUAAAGAAGAUGGAGACCUUUGAGUUGUCACAUUCUGUGGCACAAGAUUGGAACAAGUUACAUAAUAAUCAUCUCAACGCUCCUUUAUUCGGGACGGCUUCAGGUCGAUGCCCCCGCUUUGUGACAUCCCAAACCCUAGGACACCCAUGCUGUCACAGGAGGUCACCCCCGGAGGUGAACAGAAUUCACCAGGGCAGUCAGAGUGAUCGCUGAAACACACCGCGAGGGAGCAGCAGGCCUGCAGGCCAGUGGCCGGCUGACAACUCUGCGCCGUGGAUUAUGGUCCGGGAGGUCUGUGUCCGAGGGGCUUCCUUACUGCCAGGCGUCCAACUGACCUCCACACAUGUCAUUAAAAUUAUCACAUGUCCGCCAUACCUUAUGAGGGGGGCAGGGAGCUGGAGGGCUGGGGGCAGAGGACGGGACGCAGCAUCCGGCCCACGUCAGGGAAACUGAGGGAAGACCCUGGAACGGGAGGGGAUUAGGAAGUUGAGUCUAGCUGGGAUCUUGAGCAUCUGUGCCGUCCUUUUGCCCUGUCAUUUGAAUUUGGGGUAUCCCUAAACACAGCUAAUCCCUAAAUAUCCCUAAAUAAAGGAUAAUCUUGUUGACUAGGAGGUAUUUAUCUCUUUUCUUUUUUUUUAACUUUUAUUUAGUAAAUAUAAAUUUCCAAAGUACAGUUUAUGGAUUAUAAUGGC